AGUGUUGAAAGCUUGGCUCCUGACUGUGGUGGCUUAGAACAAUGUCAUGCAUUCCUAAAGUGGCAGGACCUCAUCUUUGGGGGCACUUGUUUUGAGACCAGAGAUCUUAAUCAUGGUCAGACCUUGAGAAAGCCUCUAACCCAAUGUGACAAUACUAACUCCAUCACAACAAAGACUCUAUGAAAAUUGUAUGAACAAAUGUUCUAAAAUACAGUGGUGCUAGGGACUGGGGAAGGGGGAUGGAGCAGAGCAGUUUAAUGCAUACAGGGCUUCUUUGGGGGUGAUUAAAAACCUUCUGGAACUAGACAGAGGUGGUGGUUGUACAUCAUUGUGGAUGUAGUCAGUGCCAUGGAGCUGUUUACUUUAAAACUAGUAAUUUGGGAGUUCCCAUUUGUGGCUCAGCAGUAACAAACCUGACUAGUAUCCAUGAGGAUGUGGGUUCGAUCCCUGGCUCAGGGGUUAAGGAUCCCACCUUGCCAUGUAGAUUGUAGACACAGCUCGGAUCCUGUGCUGCUGUGGCUGUGGCAUAGGCUGGCAGCUGCAGCUCUGAUUCUACCCCUAGACUGGGAACUUCCAUAUGCUUCAGGUGCAGCCCUAAAAAGCAAAAAAAUAAAAUGAGUAAUUUUAUCUUAUGUGGAUUUCACCUGCAAAAAAGAAGAAUAUAUUUGAAAUUCAAGAUAGGUGUUCACUCACUGUAAACAUGAUUGCAUCACCACUGGCAGAUAUGUGUAAGGGUCUUCUAAUGAUUUUGGAUGGGAUGGCUUCUGUUUGUAAUUUUAUUUCAAGUAAUAAUUCUGUUCAAAAAGUAGGCAUUUGUAGCCUUUACUAGAAAAGAUGCAUGGCUGAACUAGAAGUGACAAUAGACAUUUGGAAGAGGAGUUAUGAUCUUGAAAAACUGAGUUUGUUUUACAAGCCAAUAUAAUAAUUUUUUUCUGACUGAUUUUAAUUGGCAGGAAUGGGACUUAGCAGAGAGAGGGAACACAUGGGUGAGUUAUAUAGCACAAUUGCACAGGGCUUGAAACUUGACCUUCGUUGCAUUGAUGAUAAUGACAAUGAACACCAAGGCGUGUGGGAUGCAAUACUAUGUCUGUGGUUGGCUUACACGUUCUCUCUCUUCUUUCUUCUCCAAAGCCACUGCUUGAUAUUCAGGGCCUCUCUGCUACCCAGUUUUCAACUUGUUCCAGUUCAUUGUGUCUAUCAUCUUUGAGAAAAGGUAAUAACAUGUUAAAAAGUAGUAAGAAUCAUUAUUACCCACAUGAGUCCAUUAUGGUCCAGUCACUGCC
RNAcentral lists this long non-coding RNA (1283 nucleotides) under Sus scrofa (pig). RNAcentral's name for it is "lncRNA (ENSSSCG00070007428.1)". Lineage: Eukaryota; Metazoa; Chordata; Mammalia; Artiodactyla; Suidae. The record is from RNAcentral.